GGCCAAGAUAGACAGGGACACGUGCAGACUGAAUUAUGGGUGAGCGACAGUGAGCGAGUGAGUAGGUGAACGAGUGUGAGUGAUUGAUAAUGAGAGGUGUGAGUGUGUGAGUGAUUGAUCAUGAGAGGUGUGAGUGUGUGAGUGAUUGAUAAUGAGAGGUGUGAGUGAUUGAUCAUGAGAGGUGUGAGUGUGUAAGUGAUUGAUAACGAGAGGUGUGAGUGUGUGAGUGACUGAUAAUGAGAGGUGUGAGUGUGUGCAUGAGUUAUAAAGAGUUAUAAUCUCACCCAAUGACUUCCUGCCUCUGGUCCUCUGUGUGUAGAGCAUGAACAGACUGAGCACUAACAGAAACACCACCGCAGCGAGCCCGGCACAUAUGUAUACAACACCACCUAAACAACAUAAUAAGACAUUAACACAACACACUUUAUAGAUACAACACCACCUAAACAACAUAAUAACACAUUAACACAACACACUUAACAGAUACAACACUAUCUAAACAACAUAACAAGACAUUAACACAACACACUU
Molecule: long non-coding RNA, 531 nt
Organism: Clupea harengus (Atlantic herring)
Lineage: Eukaryota; Metazoa; Chordata; Actinopteri; Clupeiformes; Clupeidae
Source: Ensembl